CAUUCAGCAUUCGCCAUUGUGC
This 22-nucleotide non-coding RNA is filed under the name Arabidopsis thaliana (thale cress). Lineage: Eukaryota; Viridiplantae; Streptophyta; Magnoliopsida; Brassicales; Brassicaceae. The record is from RNAcentral.